GGGUUGUGAGGUUAAGCGACUAAGCGUACACGGUGGAUGCCCUGGCAGUCAGAGGCGAUGAAGGACGUGCUAAUCUGCGAAAAGCGUCGGUAAGGUGAUAUGAACCGUUACAGCCGGCGAUGUCCGAAUGGGGAAACCCAGUGCAAUUCGUUGCACUAUCGUUAACUGAAUACAUAGGUUAACGAGGCGAACCGGGGGAACUGAAACAUCUAAGUACCCCGAGGAAAAGAAAUCAACCGAGAUUCCCCCAGUAGCGGCGAGCGAACGGGGAGCAGCCCAGAGUCUGAAUCAGCUUGUGUGUUAGUGGAACGGUCUGGAAAGUCCGACGGUACAGGGUGAUAGUCCCGUACACCAAAAUGCACAGGCUGUGAACUCGAAGAGUAGGGCGGGACACGUGGUAUCCUGUCUGAAUAUGGGGGGACCAUCCUCCAAGGCUAAAUACUCCUGACUGACCGAUAGUGAACCAGUACCGUGAGGGAAAGGCGAAAAGAACCCCGGCGAGGGGAGUGAAAAAGAACCUGAAACCGUGUACGUACAAGCAGUGGGAGCACCUUCGGGUGUGACUGCGUACCUUUUGUAUAAUGGGUCAGCGACUUAUAUUCUGUAGCAAGGUUAACCGUAUAGGGGAGCCGCAGGGAAACCGAGUCUUAACUGGGCGUUAAGUUGCAGGGUAUAGACCCGAAACCCGGUGAUCUAGCCAUGGGCAGGUUGAAGGUUGGGUAACACUAACUGGAGGACCGAACCGACUAAUGUUGAAAAAUUAGCGGAUGACUUGUGGCUGGGGGUGAAAGGCCAAUCAAACCGGGAGAUAGCUGGUUCUCCCCGAAAGCUAUUUAGGUAGCGCCUCGUGAAUUCAUCUUCGGGGGUAGAGCACUGUUUCGGCUAGGGGGUCAUCCCGACUUACCAACCCGAUGCAAACUACGAAUACCGAAGAAUGUUAUCACGGGAGACACACGGCGGGUGCUAACGUCCGUCGUGAAGAGGGAAACAACCCAGACCGCCAGCUAAGGUCCCAAAGUCAUGGUUAAGUGGGAAACGAUGUGGGAAGGCACAGACAGCCAGGAUGUUGGCUUAGAAGCAGCCAUCAUUUAAAGAAAGCGUAAUAGCUCACUGGUCGAGUCGGCCUGCGCGGAAGAUGUAACGGGGCUAAACCAUGCACCGAAGCUGCGGCAGCGACACGAUGUGUUGUUGGGUAGGGGAGCGUUCUGUAAGCCUGCGAAGGUGACCUGUGAGGGUUGCUGGAGGUAUCAGAAGUGCGAAUGCUGACAUAAGUAACGAUAAAGCGGGUGAAAAGCCCGCUCGCCGGAAGACCAAGGGUUCCUGUCCAACGUUAAUCGGGGCAGGGUGAGUCGACCCCUAAGGCGAGGCCGAAAGGCGUAGUCGAUGGGAAACAGGUUAAUAUUCCUGUACUUGGUGUUACUGCGAAGGGGGACGGAGAAGGCUAUGUUAGCCGGGCGACGGUUGUCCCGGUUUAAGCAUGUAGGCUGAUUAUCCAGGCAAAUCCGGAUAAUCAAGGCUGAGGUGUGAUGACGAGGCACUACGGUGCUGAAGUAACAAAUGCCCUGCUUCCAGGAAAAGCCUCUAAGCAUCAGGUAACAUCAAAUCGUACCCCAAACCGACACAGGUGGUCAGGUAGAGAAUACCAAGGCGCUUGAGAGAACUCGGGUGAAGGAACUAGGCAAAAUGGUGCCGUAACUUCGGGAGAAGGCACGCUGGUGUGUAGGUGAAGUCCCUGCGGAUGGAGCUGAGACCAGUCGAAGAUACCAGCUGGCUGCAACUGUUUAUUAAAAACACAGCACUGUGCAAACACGAAAGUGGACGUAUACGGUGUGACGCCUGCCCGGUGCCGGAAGGUUAAUUGAUGGGGUUAUCCGUAAGGAGAAGCUCUUGAUCGAAGCCCCGGUAAACGGCGGCCGUAACUAUAACGGUCCUAAGGUAGCGAAAUUCCUUGUCGGGUAAGUUCCGACCUGCACGAAUGGCGUAAUGAUGGCCAGGCUGUCUCCACCCGAGACUCAGUGAAAUUGAACUCGCUGUGAAGAUGCAGUGUACCCGCGGCAAGACGGAAAGACCCCGUGAACCUUUACUAUAGCUUGACACUGAACAUUGAGCCUUGAUGUGUAGGAUAGGUGGGAGGCUUUGAAGCGUGGACGCCAGUCUGCGUGGAGCCAACCUUGAAAUACCACCCUUUAAUGUUUGAUGUUCUAACGUGGGCCCCUAAUCGGGGUUGCGGACAGUGUCUGGUGGGUAGUUUGACUGGGGCGGUCUCCUCCCAAAGCGUAACGGAGGAGCACGAAGGUUAGCUAAUCCUGGUCGGACAUCAGGAGGUUAGUGCAAUGGCAUAAGCUAGCUUGACUGCGAGCGUGACGGCGCGAGCAGGUGCGAAAGCAGGUCAUAGUGAUCCGGUGGUUCUGAAUGGAAGGGCCAUCGCUCAACGGAUAAAAGGUACUCCGGGGAUAACAGGCUGAUACCGCCCAAGAGUUCAUAUCGACGGCGGUGUUUGGCACCUCGAUGUCGGCUCAUCACAUCCUGGGGCUGAAGUAGGUCCCAAGGGUAUGGCUGUUCGCCAUUUAAAGUGGUACGCGAGCUGGGUUUAGAACGUCGUGAGACAGUUCGGUCCCUAUCUGCCGUGGGCGCUGGAGAAUUGAGGGGGGCUGCUCCUAGUACGAGAGGACCGGAGUGGACGCAUCACUGGUGUUCGGGUUGUCAUGCCAAUGGCACUGCCCGGUAGCUAAAUGCGGAAGAGAUAAGUGCUGAAAGCAUCUAAGCACGAAACUUGCCCCGAGAUGAGUUCUCCCUGAGACUUUAAGUCUCCUGAAGGAACGUUGAAGACGACGACGUUGAUAGGCCGGGUGUGUAAGCGCAGCGAUGCGUUGAGCUAACCGGUACUAAUGAACCGUGAGGCUUAACCUUACAACGCCGAAG
Molecule: ribosomal RNA, 2922 nt
Filed under: Klebsiella quasipneumoniae
Lineage: Bacteria; Pseudomonadati; Pseudomonadota; Gammaproteobacteria; Enterobacterales; Enterobacteriaceae
Also listed under: 1 other name
Description: 23S ribosomal RNA
Rfam family: Bacterial large subunit ribosomal RNA
Source: RNAcentral